GACGAACGCUGGCGGCGUGCUUAACACAUGCAAGUCGAACGGUGAAGCGCCUUCCUUUUUGGUGGGCGUGGAUGAGUGGCGAACGGGUGAGUAACACGUGAGUAACCUGCCCCCUUCUUCUGGAUAACCGCAUGAAAGUGUGGCUAAUACGGGAUAUUCUGGGUCUGUCGCAUGAUGGGUCUGGGAAAGAUAUUGUUUCGGUGGGGGAUGGGCUCGCGGCCUAUCAGCUUGUUGGUGGGGUGAUGGCCUACCAAGGCGGUGACGGGUAGCCGGCCUGAGAGGGUGGACGGUCACACUGGGACUGAGACACGGCCCAGACUCCUACGGGAGGCAGCAGUGGGGAAUAUUGCACAAUGGGCGCAAGCCUGAUGCAGCGACGCCGCGUGAGGGAUGGAGGCCUGCGGGUUGUGAACCUCUUUCGCCAGUGAAGCAGGCCUGCCUCGUUUGUGGGUGGGUUGACGGUAGCUGGAUAAGAAGCGCCGGCUAACUACGUG
This 494-nucleotide ribosomal RNA is filed under the name uncultured bacterium. Its description in RNAcentral is "partial 16S ribosomal RNA". It matches the Rfam family "Bacterial small subunit ribosomal RNA", at positions 28 to 507 of the family's 1533-position model. The record is from RNAcentral.